GGCCAGGAGAUCGGCGGCUACGCACAUGGUUCUUGCCUUUUACCAGAACCAUCCGGCCGUCGUCUCUGUUCAAAGGUUGUCUACAAUUUUUGGGACACAAAGAGACAAUUUGACA
This 115-nucleotide small nuclear RNA is filed under the name Pichia kudriavzevii. RNAcentral describes it as "U5 spliceosomal RNA". It matches the Rfam family "U5 spliceosomal RNA". Rfam says of the family: U5 RNA is a component of both types of known spliceosome. The record is from Rfam by way of RNAcentral. Lineage: Eukaryota; Fungi; Ascomycota; Pichiomycetes; Pichiales; Pichiaceae.